This 491-nucleotide ribosomal RNA is filed under the name uncultured bacterium. Its description in RNAcentral is "bacterial SSU rRNA". It matches the Rfam family "Bacterial small subunit ribosomal RNA", at positions 28 to 511 of the family's 1533-position model. The record is from RNAcentral.
GAUGAACGCUAGCUACAGGCUUAACACAUGCAAGUCGAGGGGCAGCAUGAUGUAGCAAUACAUUGAUGGCGACCGGCGCAAGGGUGCGUAACGCGUGAGUAACAUGCCCGUAUCAGGGGGAUAACCCGAAGAAAUUCGGACUAAUACCCCAUAGUAAUUUGUGGAGGCAUCUCUAUAAAUUUAAAGCUCCGGCGGAUACGGAUUGACUCGCGUGACAUUAGCUAGAUGGCGGGGUAACGGCCCACCAUGGCGACGAUGUCUAGGGGUUCUGAGAGGAAGGUCCCCCANACUGGAACUGAGACACGGUCCAGACUCCUACGGGAGGCAGCAGUGAGGAAUAUUGGUCAAUGGUCUGACGACUGAACCAGCCAUGCCGCGUGAAGGUGACGGCCCUAUGGGGUCUUAAAACUUCUUUUGUAAGGGAGCAAUAAGCGCCACGUGUGGCGUGAUGAGGGUACCUUACGAAUAAGCAUCGGCUAACUCCGUGCCAG